GUCGGAGUGGCGGAAUUAGGCAGACGCGCUGGGUUUAGGACCCAGUGGGGCAACCCGUGAGAGUUCAAUUCUCUCCUCCGACA
RNAcentral lists this transfer RNA (83 nucleotides) under Parcubacteria bacterium DG_74_2. RNAcentral's name for it is "tRNA-Leu". It matches the Rfam family "tRNA". From Rfam's summary of the family: Transfer RNA (tRNA) molecules are approximately 80 nucleotides in length. Their secondary structure includes four short double-helical elements and three loops (D, anti-codon, and T loops). Lineage: Bacteria; Candidatus Parcubacteria. The record is from RNAcentral.